GACACUUUCAAGAGUUAAAGUCUAGUGCAAGAAACAAUCGCACUUGGAAAUCAUAACUGAGAAAAAUGGUAUGAAGAAACACAUAGUGCCAUGAGAAUUCAUAGUUCAGAACCCUAGUCCCGAAAGUCUUCCUAAAGGAAGUGACAUCUGAGAACUGAGAAUUUUUUUUUAUACAGCAGGUUCUUAUUAGUUAUCUAUUUUAUACACAUCAGUGUAUACAUGUCAAUCCCAAUCUCCCAAUUCAUCCCACCGCACCCCGCACCCCCGCUUCCCCCCUUGGUGUCCAUACGUUUGUUCUCUACAUCUGUGUCUCUUUUUCUGCCUUGCAAACCGUGAGAACUAAGAAUUUAACGUGGAUUAGAUAAAAGGGAAGUGAAGAGCUUCGUAACAUGUAAACGGUAACAAUAUGGCAGAAAUUCGGGGGCCAGAGAGAUGAUAUCAACUUACAUCCCAGUUUGCCAAGGAUAGGCCUUUUUUUACUUUCAGAAGUGUUCUGGUUUGGAUGAUAAAUUACAUUGUCACUCUAUAAGGGACUAAAAGAAGUACAGUACUGCUGGAGCAACAACUGAGGAAGAUGAAGCUGCAUGAUGGCCAGACCAUUCAGGGCCCAAAGACCAGUGAGCCGGUGUAACAGGUGGCGUGCGCCCUGAGCAGCAAGAGUGGCACUUCCAAGCUCCUUCCCUGGGGUACUACACUCAGCCUCUCAGCAUCAAGCCAUCAUGCUUUGAACUGUGUCUGUGAGCAUCAGUGCUUUAUCUCCAUUUAUUUUGUGCAUCCAUUGGCAAGAUGUGUCCUAAGGUAAGGAAACUGAGAAGCUUGACUAAAAAUAAGUGCUGAAGCACUGAAGCUAAAAUUUUUUUUUUUUUAUCUUUCUCUCUCUUUUUCUUUUUGGAAGCUAAAAUAAAACCUGGGCAGUUUGAAUCCAGUCUGUGUUUUCAUGAAGUGCUGCUAUAUCAGCAGCACAUGUAUAAUAGCUGCCUUGGUUCCUGAUAGCUUUCCAGUUCCUGAGUUCAGUCCCUUGAGAAGGGCAGUCUGCUCCCUAUCUUUGAAUUAUUUAUCAUAAUUUAUCCUUAUAAUAAAAUUUCAUGUCUUUGCCUAAGUGGAUCAGCCAAUUGCAACUGAAAAUGUCCUGCUCUAGUUUGACUAUGAAUGGGAAUGCAAAUAACAAAGCUCAGAGAAACUAAAACUGACUGAAUCGAGGUGGGGCUGCUGGCAAUAAAGACUUUCCUACCUUAAGAUGGGAACCUGUUAGCUUCUGUUGUGCAAUAGUGAAUCUUUUACCCAGGCUUUCUCCAAUAUUGUCUCAGAACUCAGACUAAUGUAGUCACUGAGGUAGGGCCUAGAGAUCUUGGUAGCCAAAUAUAAAAAAUAUUGAGUGCAUUGGUUUCUGUGUGGAGUUAUGAAAAGUAUGUUGGAAAAGAGGAAUUCUAAACAGAGUUCCUAGGUGAAAGUAGAUUGGAACGGGUUGUGCCAGAUUUAGCAAAUUUGAUUUAGCAAUUAUUGGAAGCCAAUUUGCCUUUGGGCUGAGAAUAUACAACUAGAUGAAGAGAUUACUCAAGGGGCUCAUUGAAUGGCAACAUAAUUUUUUUUUUUGCCACCUGUUUCUAACUCUAAAGUUUUGACAUUGAAUACCAGAAAGUGAAAUUUUAGUAAUAGGAAUAGGACUCUCAAGGAAGAACAAAUGAUAUUAAGGACUCUUAAUUCCUCAGCUCCUUCCAAAACAUUUUCCACUUCCCAUCCCCUCUCAUGCUUCACAAAAGUGUGAUGAUCCUUCACAUUGUCUAUCAAUAGCCACUAGGAUUAGAGUGCAGUAUGUGUCUGGGAAUAUUACUAAAUGGCAAACUGCAAACUGCCUUGCCUACUUUUUCUCUUGUUUGCUUUGAGGCUAAAGCAGAGAACAACGGGGAUGGACAGAGUCUCAACUGUUGCUAAUAAACAAGUCCAGAUUGACAACUUAAGGAGAAACCAGACCCACUAAAGUCUUCAGUGUUAGCUAAAUGGAAAAGGAAUCUGCCUAAAAGAAAAUUAGUAGGCUCUCCUCCACGGUAGAGCAGUUGCCUCCCAUAAAAUCCCAACGUAGACUCAGACCACAGACUAUCUCAACCCCUCAAGCACCUCCUGUUUUCCAGUAUGAAAGAAUCUGCACCAGCUAGAAGUGGGUAUCCUUUCCCAAAAUGAAGAACCUUAGUGUCCCCUGUCAAGAGUGGCCCUGGAGGACUCUGUACAAGAGAAUCCAAACUGGAUAUAGACAGAUUUUCUAAUAACUCACUAGGAAGUUGGUCACUUAACUCAUGCCUUAUGAGAUUUCAAGGGCCAUUAUUUACUAUCCCACUCCUGGUGGGUACAAUAUAUACUUUAGCGAGCUGGUUAAAUUUAUAUUUAGUCCACAGAUUGCAGAAUUAAUCCAAGUAUUUCUUUUAUGGGCUUUAUAUACCUAUCCUAGGGCUAGUUACAUUCAAAAUAGUGUUAAGAUGGACAAGGGGUUUUCUUACUUGGAAUUGACAUUCUAGUUUGGGGAAGGAGGAGAAGAGAGAGAGAUGAAUGAGGAAAUAAGCUUACAAGCUGGGAUGGGCUCUAUAAAGGAGAGACAGAUAGUGCAAUGUCAGAGAGAGUAAAGAGACAUACUCGGAUGGGAAGAGCAGUGGGGUGGUCAGAGGAGGCCUCUUUGAGCUAUAACUGGAAGAGUGAGGUAGAGCCUGCUGUGGCAAGAACCACAAGAAGAGUAGGAAGGAGAGCAAGUGCAAAGACCCCCUAAAGUUAGAAAGGGUUUGUUACGUGUGAAGAACUGAAGGCGACAAAUAUAGCUGAAGCAUAGCGAGGGGGAAGCUGGGUUGACAUGAGAUUGAAGAGAUGGCCAAGGAACCUCCUUUGAUCUAGAGCCUUGAGGGCUAUGGAAAGCAUUUGGGGUUUAAUUCCAAACACAGCAGGAUGCCAUUGGAAGUUUUUACACCAGAGAAUUGCAUAAUCUGAUUUGCCUUCCAUAAGAUUGUUCUAGCUGCUGUGUAGAAAAUGGAUAGUAGUAGUAGCAAGAGUGGCUCUCCACUCUCUAGCUCUCCACUUAGGGACCUACUUUAGUGUAUAAUGGCCUGUUAGGAUUAAAGGAGUAGCUUUAGAGAUGUAGACAAGAUGGAAUCAAGAUAAAUUGGGGAUGUUACAGUAACGUUUGAGUUGAGGUCCUCAUUUGCCAUUCAUUAGUAUCUAAAUAUGUUAAUUGAUAAAAAGCAAUACAAACAUUUGGAAAUGUGGAGACAUAUCAAAGAGCUAGAAAUGCUGAAGAUAGUUGGGAGUGGAGAGGGGUGGGGGAGAGAGUGCUAUUUUUUUGUUAUAAAUAUUCAAUAUCAUUUUCUUAUAAAAAUUGUAUAUAUAUGUGUAAAUGUGUUUAUGUGUAACCUUUGCUGUGAAAAGUUCAGAGAGGUGUCGUGAUAGAUGGAGGAAGUCAGGAUUAUUUUUAAGUAGGAAAUACUAAUGUAUGUGGGCAGAAUAAUAA
This is a long non-coding RNA of Physeter macrocephalus (sperm whale), 3487 nucleotides long. RefSeq lists it as uncharacterized. Lineage: Eukaryota; Metazoa; Chordata; Mammalia; Artiodactyla; Physeteridae. The record is from RefSeq and is a predicted model, not a curated record. The transcript has 3 exons.